Molecule: long non-coding RNA, 5145 nt
Filed under: Olea europaea (common olive)
Lineage: Eukaryota; Viridiplantae; Streptophyta; Magnoliopsida; Lamiales; Oleaceae
Description: long non-coding RNA (OEUR_LNC002505)
Source: RNAcentral
AGGAGAGGCAGUAACUAAUUCUGUUAGGUAGGGGUGUGAGGUGGCCAAAAAUCUGUUACAAGGGCCUAUAAAUAGAAUAAGAUGGAGAGAUGAAGAUAGGAAGAAAUUCAGUGAGUGGGUCAGCUAGGGAGGGUCUCAGUCCUCUCAAUCGGUCAUUUGUUCUUUUCCUUUACAUUUCCUUGUAAUUCCAAUUCCAAAAAUCAAUUCAGCAUUUCCUUUCAUUUCCUGUGUUACUUCUCUUGUUUUCCCUGGCACUUGGUAAUUUCUUUUACAGAUUGGAAUCUAUCAAAUUGGUAUCAGAGCACCCUUCACCAUAAGCAUGACACUUGCAGAUCAAGUUGGGGAACUAGAACAGAAAGUAGAAGUCCAUCAUCAAGAGCUGCAGGCAGGUCUUGAGUCCAUGAGAUCUGAGUUCAAAGUAAUGCAUGCAGGGAUGCUGGAGAAAUUUGAAUUAUUAAUGAAAACAUGGGAUAAUCAGGAAAGGGGACGGAAGGAGAAAGGGAUGGCCUCCGAAAAAUCACCAACAGAAACUGCAGGUUCGGGAAUAUCUCAACUCCGGCAAGACCUUACUCAAGGUACUGGCGGAGGAACAGGAGGUGACUGGAGGGGGGAACGGCGAGUGCGACGAUUGGAGAUGCCCGUGUUUGACGGGGAUGAUCCGGAUGGAUGGGUUUUUUGGGUGGAAAGAUACUUCACCCUCAACCGGUUGACUGAAGAAGAGAAAGUCAAGGCAGCUGUGGUAUGCUUCGACGGCGAAGCCCUAGCCUGGUUCAAAUGGGAGGAGAAGCGUCGAGCUAUGAAUAGCUGGGAGGAGGUGAAGAUCCGGCUAUUGCGUCGAUUCCGCCCUUCGCAAGAGGGGUCCCUGUGUGCUCAGUUUUUAUCCCUAAGGCAACGCUCCACCGUUCGUGACUACCGCCGGCAAUUUGAGACGUUAGCUUCCCCGUUAGUGGAAAUAUCGGAGGAAGUGUUGACAUGCAGCUUCCUUAAUGGGUUAAACCCAGAUAUCCGGGCUGAGGUUCUGUUGUUAAGACCCUUGGGCCUGGAGCAGAUAAUGGAAGUGGCCCAAAUGGUGGAGGAUCGAAACAUGGUAACUAAACAAACCCACUGGAAUGCUGGACCUAUUAAACCAAAGAGUAUCCCCUUCCAUAACCCAAAUCCACCACAAUCAUCUUUCAAGAGCCCGACCCACACCCAUCACUCCCAAACACGCCCUACGGUUCCUCUGAACCUCCCCCUAAAUCGCCCAAAUUCUUUCCCCAAAUCAUCCAUACCCUACAAACGGCUAACCGACUCUGAAAUACAGGCCAAGAGGGAGAAAGGCCUCUGUUACCGUUGUGAUGACCGAUUUACCAUUGGCCAUAGGUGCAAGAAUAAGGAGCUACAAGUGUUGGUGAUUCGGGAAAUGGAACUCAACGACGAGGAACCCGACACCGCCAUGGCCAGCGAAGGUGAGCCCAACACCGGCGAGUCGGUUUAUGCUGUAGAAGUGACCCCCGGUUCGGGACAGCCUGUAGAGUUGUCGAUCAACUCAGUCGUGGGGCUGACCACCCCAGGUACUAUGAAGCUAAAAGGGAUGCUCGGCCAAAAGCAAGUGAUAGUUUUGGUUGACAAUGGUGCUUCCCACAAUUUUAUUUCAGCAGACCUAGUCCAACAAAUGGGAUUUCCAUUGACAGGCACCGGAAGCUAUGGGGUGGUCAUGGGGACGGGCUUAACAGUAAAAGGGGAUGGUAUAUGCCGACGAGUACCUCUGAAAUUGCCGGGGCUGUUGAUAGAAGAGGACUUCUUACCUCUUAAGCUGGGCAGCUCGGAUAUCAUUCUGGGAAUGCAAUGGUUGAGGACACUAGGCAAAAUGCAAGUGGACUGGGAUACUCUAACCAUGUCCUUUGACGUCGGGGGGAUCAAGGUAACCCUGCAGGGAGAUCCCAGCCUGAGUAAGAUGCCCGUUUCAUUGAAAUCGAUGUGGAAAGCUUUUAAGGAACAGGGGGAAGGGCUUCUACUGGAAUUGGGAAGCAUCACCGUCAGUCACCGGUCCGCCCCGCCCAGCCCCCCGAGGUUUUUUGCAGAGAUUCUGGAGGAGUUCACAGCAGUAUUCGAGGAAUUUACUCAACUGCCUCCUAAGAGACUCCAGGAUCAUGCAAUUAAUUUGAAACCAGGGGCGGGACCAGUAAGUGUAAGACCGUAUCGCUAUCCCCACUUCCAGAAAAACGAAAUAGAGCAGCUAGUUAAGGAGAUGUUAGCAGCUGGAAUCAUCCAACAUAGCACUAGUCCUUUUUCAAGUCCUGUGCUGUUAGUACGGAAGAAAGAUGGGAGUUGGAGAUUUUGUGUGGAUUAUAGAGCAUUUAACAAAGCCACCGUCCCAGACAAGUUCCCAAUCCCAGUCAUCGAUGAAUUGCUUGACGAAUUGAAUGGAGCUACGGUGUUCUCAAAAAUCGAUCUCAAAUCUGGUUAUCAUCAGAUACGGGUGAAGGCCGAGGAUGUCCCAAAAACAGCCUUCCGAACUCAUGAAGGCCAUUAUGAGUUUCUAGUCAUGCCCUUCGGCUUGACCAACGCACCAGCCACCUUUCAAUCAUUGAUGAACUCAAUUUUCAGAGAACAGCUCCGAAAGUAUGUGCUAGUAUUUUUUUACGACAUUCUUGUUUACAGCCGUACAAAGGAGGAACACCGAGAUCAUUUACGAAAGGUCCUGCAGACUCUAGUAGAGCACCAGCUCUUUGCUAACAAAAAGAAAUGCCUAUUUGGGUAAGAGGAGAUAGAGUAUCUUGGCCACAUUAUAUCAGCAAAGGGGGUGGCAGCAGAUGAAUCCAAGUUGUCAGCAAUGAGGAAUUGGCCACGUCCCCAGACACUUAAAGAAUUAAGGGAAUUCUUGGGGUUGACCGGAUAUUAUCGACGGUUUGUGGAGUCCUAUGGGAAGAUAGCCUGGCCGCUAGCUCAACUACUAAAGAAGGACUGUUUCAGGUGGAAUGACGCUGCAGAAUCGGCCUUCGCAAAACUGAAGGAGGCAAUGACAACUGUACCAGUCUUGGCUCUUCCAGAUUUCUCGCAGCCCUUUGUACUUGAGACUGAUGCUUCUGGACAUGGGAUAGGGGGCUGUCUUGAUGCAAAAUCAGAGACCAAUUGCCUAUUUCAGUCAGGUGCUACCCCAAAGAAGUCAGAAUAAAUCGAUAUAUGAGAGGGAGCUCAUGGCUAUCGUACUGGCAGUGCAAAAGUGGAGGCAUUAUUUGCUGGGAAGGCGUUUUGUGGUUAGAACAGACCAAAAAAGUCUUAAAUUCCUACUCGAACAGCUCUUAGUAAAUGUGGAAUAUCAGAAGUGGUUAUCUAAAUUGUUGGGUUUCGAUUUGGAUAUUGAAUACAAGCCAGGAUUGGAAAACAGAGCCGCAGAUGCCUUAUCCAGGAGGGGAACAUCAGCCACACUGAUGGCCCUUAGUAUACCGAACACAAUACAAUUAGAGGAGGUGAUAAAAGUGAAGGAAGAAGAUCCUGAACUAAGCCGAAUCAUAUCAGCCCUAAGGGUGGACCCUUCUUCCUGUCCUGGAUUUGCUAUAGUAAGAGGGGCUUUGCUGUAUAAGGACAGGAUCACCCUACCUAAAGGUUCUCCCAUUAUUUCGUUAGCAUUACAAGAAGGCCAUGAUAGUAAAAUGGGCGGCCAUGGGGGAUUCAUUAAGACUUACAAGAGGAUAGUCGGGACUUUUUAUUGGAAAGGUAUGAAGAAGGAUAUUAGAAACUAUGUGGCUGCUUGCGAAGUUUGUCAACAGCACAAGUACUCCACGUUAGCACCUGCAGGACUGCUACAACCUCUACCUAUACCACAGAAGGUAUGGGAGGACAUCUCCAUGGAUUUCAUAGAAGGGUUACCAAAGUCUGAGGGGAUCGAUUCAAUACUGGUAGUGGUCGACCGCCUAAGCAAAUAUGGCCACUUCAUUGGCUUAAAACAUCCUUUCACAGCUCCGACCGUGGCUGCCAUGUUCAUCAAAGAGGUGGUUCGCUUGCAUGGGACACCAAACUCAAUCAUAACUGACAGGGAUAAGGUAUUUAUGAGCAAAUUUUGGAGUGAGUUAUUCCGUUUACAGGGGACUAAAUUGAAGUUUAGUUCAGCCUAUCAUCCCCAAACUGAUGACCAAACAGAGGUGGUGAAUAGAGGGAUAGAGACAUACCUACGGUGUUUUACUUCAGCUCGGCCGAAAAAGUGGUUCCGUUUCCUGCCAUGGGCGGAGCUAUCUUACAACACAUCAUUUCAUGUGUCUGCACAACUCACCCCAUUCCACAUAGUUUAUGGACGAGAGCCUCCGCCUCUAAUACGGUUUGAAAAGGGGUCGACACCUGUAUCAUCAUUGGAUCAGCAAUUGGCAGAAAGGGAUAGACUUUUGGAUGAGCUAAAGCUGCAUUUGAGCCAGGCACAGCAACAGAUGAAAAGUUCAGCUGAUAGACAUAGGAGGGAGGUGGAGUUCUCAGCUGGUGAUAAGGUCUACUUGAAAAUGCGACCCUAUCGCCGCAAAUCAUUGGCACAACGCAGCAACGAGAAACUUGCACCACGGUACUAUGGGCCGUUUGAGAUUUUAGCUAAAGUGGGGAAAGUUGCUUACAGGUUGGAGCUGCCACCUGGUACCCGUAUUCAUCCUGUAUUUCAUGUUUCGCAAUUGCAAAGGGCGGUAGGAGAACAUCAUCUGCCUUCUAUGUUGCCUGAUAAUUUGGGAGUGGACUGGGAGUUAAUGGUUGAACCAGAAACUGUGUUGGGAGUCAGGACUGCUUCGUUGGGGACAGCAGACUGCUUGGAAGUGUUAAUUCAGUGGAAGGGCCUAUCUCCAUUGGAAGCUACUUGGGAGCCAUUCAGCCUCAUUGAUCAACAAUUUCCGGCCUUUCACCUUGUGGACAAGGUGACUGAAUUGGGCGGGGUAGUUGAUAAGCCUCCAAUUCAGUAUACAUAUUCUAGAAGGAACAAGAGGAGAGGCAGUAACUAAUUCUGUUAGGUAGGGGUGUGAGGUGGCCAAAAAUCUGUUACAAGGGCCUAUAAAUAGAAUAAGAUGGAGAGAUGAAGAUAGGAAGAAAUUCAGUGAGUAGGUCAAUUAGGGAGAGUCUCAGUCCUCUCAAUCGGUCAUUUGUUCUUUUCCUUUACAUUUCCUUGUAAUUCCAAUUCCAGAAAUCAAUUCA